UACGAAGGGUGCAAGCGUUAAUCGGAAUUACUGGGCGUAAAGCGUGCGUAGGCGGUUCGUUAAGUCUGAUGUGAAAGCCCUGGGCUCAACCUGGGAAUGGCAUUGGAUACUGGCGGGCUAGAGUGCGGUAGAGGGGUGCGGAAUUCCCGGUGUAGCGGUGAAAUGCGUAGAGAUCGGGAGGAACAUCUGUGGCGAAGGCGGCACCCUGGACCAGCUCUGACGAUGAGGCACGAAAGAGUGGGGAGCAAACAGG
Molecule: ribosomal RNA, 253 nt
Filed under: uncultured bacterium
Lineage: Bacteria
Description: partial 16S ribosomal RNA
Rfam family: Bacterial small subunit ribosomal RNA
Source: RNAcentral